UGGCGGCGACUGCCGCAGGAAGAGGCGGAGCGGCGGCGCCUCCUCACGGCUUCACCCGCGGGAGGCGCCGCCCCAGCCCGGGGCUCUUAUAGCCGGGAGGAGCGGAGCCGCGCCCUCACGGCUGCACCCUCCCCCGGGACCGCCCCAGCCCGGAACACUCAGAGCCAGGUGAAGGAACCGCCUCCUCAGGGCUUCACUCGCCUCGGUCUGGGGGUCUUGUACCGAGUCCGAGCCGAGCCAACCGCUCACAGCUUCACCCGCCCCUUCACAGGUUGCCUCAGCCCGGGGGUCUCGUGCCCAGGCGGAGCAGAGCCUUCUCCUCACGGCUUCACACGCCUCAGCCUGGGGCUCUCGUACUCCGGCGGAGCGAAGCAGAGCCGCCCACCUCCCGGCUUCACCCGCCUCAGGAGCCGCCCCUCAGCCCGGGGUCUUGUACAGAGCUGUCCCCUCCCGGCUUCACCCGUCUCAGGAGCCGCCCCUCAGCCCGGGGUCUCGUACAGAGCUGUCCCUUCACAGCUUCGCCCGCCUCAGCCCGGGACACUCGCACCCGGCGAGGGAGCGGCGGGACCCCUGAGGGGAGCCAUGAGCCGUCAGGCCUAUUUUUGUACUUCCUUUGCCUCUGUGGAGCCUCACGGACUGCACGGAGCUCCUUAAACCCAUAGAGGUUUACCCGCAGUAUCAGACACGAGGGGAAAGGUUUAUUUUCUCUGUGCAGGCGCCAAUAACGCCAGGCAGAGCAACUGGAUCGACUGCAGUAAGGAAUGAGAGGCAGAGAAAAGGAACAGGUGGAAAUAUGGAGCAGUGGAAAAACGAGUGCCAGCACAGAGUUUGCAGCCAGGGAUGCUUCCAGCCAGGACAGGUAACGCCCUCGGUUGUUCUGCUGGGGGUUCCAUCACAAGACCCUUGUGUGUGAGCCACACUGAAGGGUGUGAAGGGAGAGGGAGCAAAUUCCAUGGUGAUUCAGAGGACAAUCUCCCCAGUGCAGAGGUGGAAACCCCAUUGCACCUCAUUUUAAUUGCCAGCACCACGUCGAGCAGGUAAACAAACUCUUAAUGACUGCACAUGCAUUUCACUGCUCAUGGAGCUGUGCUGGGAAGGGUUAAACCCCAGUUUGUGCACAAAGGUGAAGCUAAACACUGGCUAUUGUUUUAAAAAAGAGGACACCACUAUAAAACAGUAGUUUUCAGGAACAGUGAGACAAACAAAACUGGUUUUAUCAUUUGUUUAAGUGUGGGUCUUUUAGAUUUAAAUGGUUCCUCAAAAAUUAUUCCGGGGGCUUUGUAAUUUUACAAGGCUGGACUAAAUUGGUAAGUAAGCGUUUCAAGACCAGCACAGAGAAUGAAUUUGGAUUUCAGGUUGAAAACAGGUCCAGAGGGGAUAAAAUGCAAAUACUCCAACAUAAUUCCAUAGUUUAUAUGAGGCACAUCUACCACAAUAAUUCCUAGCACAUCAUCUGUUACAACAAAACCAGCAUGGAACUACUUACAGUGCAGUUUUCAGAAAAUAGUGUCUUAAGUUGGUUUGAACAUUAAAUUGUUCAGUUAUGUCAUUUGAAUGGUUUCACAGGAUUUUUUUCUAUGUAUCUGUUAAGACAUGGAUAAUCCCAUUAAUAAGAUAUCACUCUAUAAGGAGUCAGGACAAGUCCAGUUCAUAUCCCAAAACCACGGACAAAGCAUUUACACAACAGCCAUGUUACCAUUUUCAUCCUCCACAAUAUUGUCAUUUUCUUUUUCAUUCUUGUUUGUGUUUAAAUUAGAAGCCAAAAGCAUUUACAAACAUGCCUGUUCCAAAUGCAACAUUAUCAGAUUGUUCUCUCUCCCUUUCUCCUUUAUCUUUUUUGUUUCUUUCCAUUUCCAAGUGUGGUGAUGUUGAGGGUGGUUAUUUCAUGACUCAUGUUUCCAUUCAGUAGCAUUUUUUUGUUCUCUUACAGAGAGUGCAGUCAAAUUAGUCCUGUCCUGGACAAGUUCUUUAUUUCUGCUUCAUCUGUGGAUUUUCCAUAGAGGUGUCCCUCAAUUUCCCACCCAAGCUACGUUCCAAAUGACCGAGGAAGUUAAUGCACCAACCUCUUAUGAAAGCACCUUUUUUCUUAUCAAUCCUUCCUGCUCCUCAGUGCUUUGGUGGCCUGUAAUUGCAAUUAAUGGUGAUAUAUUUCUUUAGCAGUCAAAGGGCAGAAAAACCAUAGUUUACUGCAUCCCUGGCUGAGUGUAUGCUAUUACCUGGUCUUCUCAGGAGUGAAGAAACUGCUCCCGUGGCCAGUCUGAGCCUUGGGGUCAUUCCCAUCCUACAGAACUGCCUGCCUGCAGCUGUAAAGGUCAGGAGUGGUUCUAGGUUUCAGCUCUCUGUAUAACGCCUUAGAACCCAAUGAUAUCAAUUCCAUGGUCCAGGGAGGAAAAGGUGUCACCCUUGAAUUUUGUGUUCUGUUUUCUUUCCCAUGCAACCUCAUUCCUUUACUUUCAAGGAAUGGAUCUCCAAGCAAAGAUCUCUUCCUGCUGGUUUGCAGCCAUCCCUUAUUAUCUGGUGGCCAGCUGUGGUUUUAGGAGAGGAAAUAAUUAUAGAAUCAUAGAAUGGUUUGGGUUGGAAGGGACCUUAAAGCCCAUCCAGUGCCACCCCCUGCCAUGGGCAGGGACACCUCCCACUAGCCCAGGUUGCUCCAAGCCCCAUCCAACCUGGCCUUGGACACUUCCAGGGAUCCAGGGGCAGCCACAGCUUCUCUGGGCAACCUGUGCCAGGGCCUCCCCACCCUCACAGGGAACAAUUCCUUCCCAAUAUCCCAUUCUUCCCAUAUCUAACCUUGUCCUUUGUCAGGGGGAAGCCAUUCCCCCUCAUCCUGGCACUCCAGGCCCUUAUAAAUAGUCUCUCUCCAUCUUUCUUGCAGGCUCCCUUCAUGUCAUGGAAGGUAAUUUUAUGUCUGCAAUCAGGUCACCCCAAAGCUUCUCCUCUCCAGGCUGAACAAUCCCAACUCUCCCAGCCUUUCCUCCCAGCAGAGCUGCUCCAGCCCUCUGAUCCUCUUGGGGCCUCCUCUGGACUGGCUCCAGCAGCUCCAUGUCCUUGCUGGGCUGUUCCCAGGGCUGGAGCAGCUCUGCAGGGGGGUCUCCCCUGAGGGGCAGAGGGGCAGAAUCCCCCCCUGCCCUGCUGCCCACGCUGGGGGAUCAGCCCAGGGCACGGGGGGUUUCUGGGCCGGGGCAGGUCCAGCCUCUGCCCCACCAGCACCCCCAGGGCCUUCUGCCUGGGCUGCUCCAUCUGCUCAUCCCCAGCCUGGAUUGAUCCCAGGGGUUCUCCUGACCCAGGGGCAGCACCAGCACUUGGCCUGUCAGUUGUUGUCAGUCUUUGAGCUUUGCAGUCCCAAAGGACCAGGAAAGUCAGGCACUUGGGAGUGGUGCUGUUGGGACACUCUGCUGGGUGUCAUCUUCAGACCAAGGCAUUGGCUCAGAGCAAAACCUGUCCUUGAUUCCUUUGCUAUUGAGUUAUUCUCCCUUAGCAAGUGAAUUCCCAGCUUUGAAGGCAGAAAGCAAACUCAACAACAUCCAAAUGCAUCCUCCAGACAAGCCAACUUUAUCUUACUCCAGCAGAUGAGCGCCGCAGACAUCCUGCCCAGCCAGCAGCCCAGGUGUGAUCCCCAGGAGAGUGUCACUGUUCUGGCUCUGGGCCUGGGCAGGAGGGGUGGGGCAGGGCAGGGCAGAGCCGAGCUGAUGGGAGUCUGGUCUGGCAUAAAGAGGGGCAGAAAGAUGGAGGGGUGUGGUGGAGACUCACAGGAGGUGGAGGGUGUGGGCUUGGAGCAGCUUUUGGGUCACGCCUUCACACUUGGAGAUGAUGGACCAGCACAGCAGCUUUGGGGGUUUCUUGUGCACUUUGUAGCAUCGAUAACUGAGCUGCUUUUAUUUCUCCCACGAGGAGGGUAACCCUCUUCCCCGAGAACUUCCCUGGCUCACAUGCAGCAGCUUGUGUUUGUGCUUAGCAAGCACAGCUGAGUUGCUGCUGCUGGUGGGCGAGAUGGUGGCAUCCAGAAACCCAGGCUGUUGAUCCUCUGUCAGCUGGCAUCACAUCUCAGCCCAGUGCAAAGCCAUGUCAGCAGAGUGGGGCUCACUUUGAUGCAUGUUUUUGUACCCUGGGUGCAAAACUGCUUUGAUCUGGGGACACUGCCAGGUCCCUGCUGCUUCUUUGGAAGUGUGGGCUCUUCAGAGGCACUUCCUGCUCUUCUGGGGAGCCCUUUGUGUUCUCUGUGAGCAGAGAGCAGGAACAGGUUCACUGCUCCCAAGGAAAGCAAGGGGCUUUGCCUUACCUGAUGGCACAUUCUGGUUGGCAGUUGUAGAACUGCAAAAGGAACAACACGUGCACUGAUAAUUACUGCUUUCUGCAAAAAGGGUUGAAUCCAGAUCUCAUCCAUUCCGUCCUAAUGGAGAGAGAGGGACCAUCUCCUAAUACUUUUGGUUGCUGCUUUUUGUUCAUUUAAGUGGCCUGUAAUGAGGGCAGAGCCACCACCUGAUUGCUGUGGGGAAUGGCUCCAGAGGCACAGCCAUGUCCUAAGGAGGCUGUGUGUCACAUGCCUUGUUCUCCCAGAAAACACGGAAACCUCUGGGGAUCCCGAGUGGUUUGGCCUCUUUGCAAGCAGAGUUUCUGGUCUUGCAGUGUGGCUUCACCCUGUGUGGGCAACUCUGUCAGCCUGGCCACCCCAUAAUUAUGUGGUUGUCUUUCUGGAGCACGUCAGGCCCUUCCAGUUCUUGAGCAGUGUGACCCCACACAGCAAAACAGUCGGGCUGUGGGAUGGCUUGGAAUGUCAAAAACGCAGAGAUAAAUUCAGAAAGCCUCAAAAUCCAGCCAAGCUGGGUUUUCCAAGACUAAAAAUAAAUAAUAACAGUUUCUUUUUCCAGGUAAGUAAGAGGAGGAUAGAAACUACACAAUGUGGAUGUGUGCUCUGUAUAUGGAAAAGGAAAAUUUCUGGAUUGUAUUUUCACCAAAUAACAGGCAGAAAGAAACUCAAAGAUUUGAACAUGCUCAAUGCAAGGGACUAGUCAGAACAGUGAAAGAACUGGACAGGACAAGAGCAAAUGGCUUCAGGUGGCACCAGGGGAGGGUCAGGUUGGCCAUGAGGAGGAAUUUCUUGCUGGAA
Molecule: long non-coding RNA, 5107 nt
Organism: Pseudopipra pipra
Lineage: Eukaryota; Metazoa; Chordata; Aves; Passeriformes; Pipridae
Exons: 3
Source: RefSeq, a predicted model, not a curated record